This 474-nucleotide long non-coding RNA is filed under the name Triticum aestivum (bread wheat). Its description in RNAcentral is "long non-coding RNA (TAES_LNC008982)". Lineage: Eukaryota; Viridiplantae; Streptophyta; Magnoliopsida; Poales; Poaceae. The record is from RNAcentral.
AGCAGCUGGUCGACGGCGAGGUGCGAGUCCCCGCGCUUCUUCUGCGCCGACUGCGCGCGGCGGAUGGCCUUGAUGAGCGCCGUGGAGGCCGGCACGGAGUCCGGCGGCGGCGACUGCGACGGCAGCUUCUUGAGCGCGGCGGAGAGCACGCGCUCGAACGAGUCCCCCGCGGACGCGUUCCCGCCGGACGCCCCCGCCACCGCCUGCCGCAGGAUGCCCGACCUGUCCGCCGCCAGCGCCGCCGCCAGGUGCAGCGGCGUGAUCUGCGCGUGGCCGGCCUCCGACGCCGCCUCGUGCGCCGCCACCAGCGCCUCGUUGGUCUUGUGCGUGAAGUUGUCCGGGUUCAUGGCCGCCGCUGCUUGCGCUCACAACCUACAAUGGAUCAGACAGACUUUGGGUUGGAAGAUUGAUUGGGAAUUUGGGAUCACCAAGUGUUUGUGGGAUUGCUCUGCUUCUGGAGUUCUGGAUUCUGAU